Molecule: non-coding RNA, 28 nt
Filed under: Mus musculus (house mouse)
Lineage: Eukaryota; Metazoa; Chordata; Mammalia; Rodentia; Muridae
Source: RNAcentral
UNGGUAGCCAAAUUCCACAAUUCUGCGC